AGAGUUUGAUCAUGGCUCAGAUUGAACGCUGGCGGCAGGCCUAACACAUGCAAGUCGAGCGGUAGCACAGAGAGCUUGCUCUCGGGUGACGAGCGGCGGACGGGUGAGUAAUGUCUGGGAAACUGCCUGAUGGAGGGGGAUAACUACUGGAAACGGUAGCUAAUACCGCAUAAUGUCGCAAGACCAAAGUGGGGGACCUUCGGGCCUCAUGCCAUCAGAUGUGCCCAGAUGGGAUUAGCUAGUAGGUGGGGUAACGGCUCACCUAGGCGACGAUCCCUAGCUGGUCUGAGAGGAUGACCAGCCACACUGGAACUGAGACACGGUCCAGACUCCUACGGGAGGCAGCAGUGGGGAAUAUUGCACAAUGGGCGCAAGCCUGAUGCAGCCAUGCCGCGUGUGUGAAGAAGGCCUUCGGGUUGUAAAGCACUUUCAGCGGGGAGGAAGGCGGUAAGGUUAAUAACCUUGCCGAUUGACGUUACCCGCAGAAGAAGCACCGGCUAACUCCGUGCCAGCAGCCGCGGUAAUACGGAGGGUGCAAGCGUUAAUCGGAAUUACUGGGCGUAAAGCGCACGCAGGCGGUCUGUCAAGUCGGAUGUGAAAUCCCCGGGCUCAACCUGGGAACUGCAUUCGAAACUGGCAGGCUAGAGUCUUGUAGAGGGGGGUAGAAUUCCAGGUGUAGCGGUGAAAUGCGUAGAGAUCUGGAGGAAUACCGGUGGCGAAGGCGGCCCCCUGGACAAAGACUGACGCUCAGGUGCGAAAGCGUGGGGAGCAAACAGGAUUAGAUACCCUGGUAGUCCACGCCGUAAACGAUGUCGAUUUGGAGGUUGUGCCCUUGAGGCGUGGCUUCCGGAGCUAACGCGUUAAAUCGACCGCCUGGGGAGUACGGCCGCAAGGUUAAAACUCAAAUGAAUUGACGGGGGCCCGCACAAGCGGUGGAGCAUGUGGUUUAAUUCGAUGCAACGCGAAGAACCUUACCUGGUCUUGACAUCCACAGAACUUNUUGGUGCCUUCGGGAACUGUGAGACAGGUGCUGCAUGGCUGUCGUCAGCUCGUGUUGUGAAAUGUUGGGUUAAGUCCCGCAACGAGCGCAACCCUUAUCCUUUGUUGCCAGCGGUUCGGCCGGGAACUCAAAGGAGACUGCCAGUGAUAAACUGGAGGAAGGUGGGGAUGACGUCAAGUCAUCAUGGCCCUUACGACCAGGGCUACACACGUGCUACAAUGGCAUAUACAAAGAGAAGCGACCUCGCGAGAGCAAGCGGACCUCAUAAAGUAUGUCGUAGUCCGGAUUGGAGUCUGCAACUCGACUCCAUGAAGUCGGAAUCGCUAGUAAUCGUAGAUCAGAAUGCUACGGUGAAUACGUUCCCGGGCCUUGUACACACCGCCCGUCACACCAUGGGAGUGGGUUGCAAAAGAAGUAGGUAGCUUAACCUUCGGGAGGGCGCUUACCACUUUGUGAUUCAUGACUGGGGUGAAGUCGUAACAAGGUAACCGUAGGGGAACCUGCGGUUGGAUCACCU
This 1517-nucleotide ribosomal RNA is filed under the name Klebsiella pneumoniae. Its description in RNAcentral is "bacterial SSU rRNA". It matches the Rfam family "Bacterial small subunit ribosomal RNA". Lineage: Bacteria; Pseudomonadati; Pseudomonadota; Gammaproteobacteria; Enterobacterales; Enterobacteriaceae. The record is from RNAcentral.